AGUGAACGCUGGCGGUAGGCCUAACACAUGCAAGUCGAACGGCAGCACAGUAAGAGCUUGCUCUUACGGGUGGCGAGUGGCGGACGGGUGAGGAAUACAUCGGAAUCUACUUUUUCGUGGGGGAUAACGUAGGGAAACUUACGCUAAUACCGCAUACGACCUACGGGUGAAAGCAGGGGAUCUUCGGACCUUGCGCGAUUGAAUGAGCCGAUGUCGGAUUAGCUAGUUGGCGGGGUAAAGGCCCACCAAGGCGACGAUCCGUAGCUGGUCUGAGAGGAUGAUCAGCCACACUGGAACUGAGACACGGUCCAGACUCCUACGGGAGGCAGCAGUGGGGAAUAUUGGACAAUGGGCGCAAGCCUGAUCCAGCCCUACCGCGUGGGUGAAGAAGGCCUUCGGGUUGUAAAGCCCUUUUGUUGGGAAAGAAAAGCAGCAGGUUAAUACCCCGCUGUUCUGACGGUACCCAAAGAAUAAGCACCGGCUAACUUCGU
Molecule: ribosomal RNA, 491 nt
Filed under: uncultured bacterium
Lineage: Bacteria
Description: partial 16S ribosomal RNA
Rfam family: Bacterial small subunit ribosomal RNA
Source: RNAcentral